GCGCCGCUAGCUCAGGCAGCUGACUCUUAAUCAGCGGGUCCGGGGUUCGAGUCCCUGGCGGCGCA
This 65-nucleotide transfer RNA is filed under the name Kitasatospora sp. Root107. Its description in RNAcentral is "tRNA-Lys". It matches the Rfam family "tRNA". From Rfam's summary of the family: Transfer RNA (tRNA) molecules are approximately 80 nucleotides in length. Their secondary structure includes four short double-helical elements and three loops (D, anti-codon, and T loops). Further hydrogen bonds mediate the characteristic L-shaped molecular structure. tRNAs have two regions of fundamental functional importance: the anti-codon, which is responsible for specific mRNA codon recognition, and the 3' end, to which the tRNAs corresponding amino acid is attached (by aminoacyl-tRNA synthetases). tRNAs cope with the degeneracy of the genetic code in two manners: having more than one tRNA (with a specific anti-codon) for a particular amino acid; and 'wobble' base-pairing, i.e. permitting non-standard base-pairing at the 3rd anti-codon position. Lineage: Bacteria; Bacillati; Actinomycetota; Actinomycetes; Kitasatosporales; Streptomycetaceae. The record is from RNAcentral.